GUACUUGCUUUGGCAGCACGUAUAUUAAAAUUGGAAAGAUACAGAGCAGAUCAGCAUGGCCCCUGCACAAGGGUGACAUGCAAAUUCAUGAAGCAUUCCAUAUUUUU
This 107-nucleotide small nuclear RNA is filed under the name Macaca mulatta (Rhesus monkey). The record is from RNAcentral. Lineage: Eukaryota; Metazoa; Chordata; Mammalia; Primates; Cercopithecidae.